UACAGAGGGGGCGAGCGUUGUUCGGAAUUACUGGGCGUAAAGGGCGCGUAGGCGGCCCGCUAAGUCGAACGUGAAAUCCCCAGGCUCAACCUGGGAACUGCGUCCGAUACUGGCAGGCUUGAAUCCGGGAGAGGGAUGUGGAAUUCCAGGUGUAGCGGUGAAAUGCGUAGAUAUCAGGAGGAACACCAGCGGCGAAGGCGGCGCUCUGGGCUGGAACUGACGCUGAGGAGCGAAAGCGUGGGGAGCGAACAGG
This 253-nucleotide ribosomal RNA is filed under the name uncultured bacterium. RNAcentral's name for it is "partial 16S ribosomal RNA". It matches the Rfam family "Bacterial small subunit ribosomal RNA", at positions 524 to 776 of the family's 1533-position model. The record is from RNAcentral.